UCAGCAGGGACGAAGCGAGAGUGACGGUACCUGCAGAAGAAGCACCGGCCAACUACGUGCCAACAGCCGCGGUAAUACGUAGGGUGCAAGCGUUGUCCGGAAUUAUUGGGCGUAAAGAGCUCGUAGGCGGUUUGUUGCGUCGGCUGUGAAAUCCCGAGGCUCAACCUCGGGUCUGCAGUCGAUACGAGCAAACUAGAGUGUUGCAGGGGAGACUGGAAUUCCUGGUGUAGCGGUGAAAUGCGCAGAUAUCAGGAGGAACACCGGUGGCGAAGGCGGGUCUCUGGGCAACAACUGACGCUGAGGAGCGAAAGCGUGGGGAGCGAACAGGAUUAGAUACCCUGGUAGUCCACGCCGUAAACGUUGGGCGCUAGGUGUGGGGCUCAUUCCACGAGUUCCGUGCCGCAGCUAACGCAUUAAGCGCCCCGCCUGGGGAGUACGGCCGCAAGGCUAAAACUCAAAGGAAUUGACGGGGGCCCGCACAAGCGGCGGAGCAUGUUGCUUAAUUCGAUGCAACGCGAAGAACCUUACCUAGGCUUGACAUGCACGGAAAUCUCCCAGAGAUGGGGGGUCCGUAAGGGCCGUGCACAGGUGGUGCAUGGUUGUCGUCAGCUCGUGUCGUG
This 620-nucleotide ribosomal RNA is filed under the name uncultured bacterium. RNAcentral's name for it is "bacterial SSU rRNA". It matches the Rfam family "Bacterial small subunit ribosomal RNA", at positions 434 to 1069 of the family's 1533-position model. The record is from RNAcentral.